UACACCGGAUCUGGGUCAGCGCCUCCACACGCUUACGUGAACAACCCGAGGGCAUGUGGUCUGUGAUUGUCUAAAGUGAUGCAUCAGUGCUGCAACUGCAAAGUUUAAAGGAAGUUGUCAAUGCAGUAGAGCUUCAGACAAACUUUGGGUAGCCAUUUUCAAGUUAGCCAUUUCCUCCAACUGACUGAGCAAAGAAACAUGCAGAUCUUUCACCCGACCACUGCGUUCCUUAUAAUGGUUGUUCUCUGCAGUCUUCUCUGGCAGUGGUGACUGUGAUAUACUCGCGUGAACCGGUAACGAAGAUGGAAGGCCUCAAGUGCACGGUGAAAUAUAAGAUACAGGAUUGCGACAUUCAGACCAAUUGGUGGUAUAUGAACAUCCGUGAGUCUUUGCAAAUCACGGAUCCGAGCAGAUAUCUAAUCACAGUAAAUGAAACAGAAAGAGAGGAGUACAGGCUAAGGAACAUUUUCCUGACAUUGAAUUCCUUGAGACGUUCAGACAGUGGCUUCUAGCAGUGUGAUGCCGAAUGUCUCAACAGUGGGACUCUAGCGAGAGGCCAUCUCGUGCACCUCAUUGUCACAGCUGAGCCGUAUAAAGGUCUGAAGUUCUCAGCAUGGAGCGGCCAGUUAAAGGCAGACGCAGCUGCGCUAGCACUCAGUGCUGUAUUAUUAAUAUUAUGGUGUUAUUAAAUGACAUUGUGUUUUCAGU
Long non-coding RNA from Sinocyclocheilus grahami, 708 nucleotides. RefSeq lists it as uncharacterized. The record is from RefSeq and is a predicted model, not a curated record. NCBI's taxonomy places the organism in Eukaryota, Metazoa, Chordata, Actinopteri, Cypriniformes, Cyprinidae. The transcript is spliced from 4 exons.